GAUGAAGAACGUAGCGAAAUGCGAUAAGUAAUGUGAAUUGCAGAAUUCAGUGAAUCAUCGAAUCUUUGAACGCACAUUGCGCCCCCUGGUAUUCCGGGGGGCAUGCCUGUUCGAGCGUCAUUACAACCCUCAAGCUCUGCUUGGUAUUGGGCCCCGCCAGUUCUGGCGGGCCCUAAAGUCAGUGGCGGUGCCUUCCGGCUCCGAGCGUAGUAAUUCUUCUCGCUCUGGAGGUCCGGUCGUGUGCUCGCCAGCAACCCCCAAUUUUUUUCAGGUUGACCUCGGAUCAGGUAGGGAUACCCGCUGAACUUAAGCAUAUCAAUAAGCGGAGGA
RNAcentral lists this unclassified non-coding RNA (330 nucleotides) under soil metagenome. RNAcentral's name for it is "partial contains 5.8S ribosomal RNA, internal transcribed spacer 2, and large subunit ribosomal RNA". The stretch from base 1 to 120 matches the Rfam family "5.8S ribosomal RNA", at positions 35 to 154 of the family's 154-position model. The record is from RNAcentral.